Molecule: ribosomal RNA, 301 nt
Filed under: uncultured bacterium
Lineage: Bacteria
Description: partial 16S ribosomal RNA
Rfam family: Bacterial small subunit ribosomal RNA
Source: RNAcentral
CAGCAGCCGCGGUAAUACGGAGGGUGCAAGCGUUAAUCGGAAUUACUGGGCGUAAAGCGCACGCAGGCGGUCUGACAAGUCAGAUGUGAAAUCCCCAGGCUUAACCUGGGAACUGCAUUUGAAACUGUCAGGCUGGAGUCUUGUAGAGGGGGGUGGAAUUCCAGGUGUAGCGGUGAAAUGCGUAGAGAUCUGGAGGAAUACCGGUGGCGAAGGCGGCCCCCUGGACAAAGACUGACGCUCAGGUGCGAAAGCGUGGGGAGCAAACAGGAUUAGAUACCCGCGUAGUCCCUGUCUCUUAUAC